AUGAGCUAUCGGAGCUAUCUAACUAAUUGGAUAUUUAUGAUCGAAUUAAGUUAUCCUCUUAUAAUUUCUCGUUUCGUUUCUAUUUCGCAUUUGUGCUGCGAUUCCCGAGCAGUUGAAUAUGGCUCGAGAUGAUGAGAAUCGCCUUUGUCUCCGUGCGAUCAAUUUCACACAAGAUUGACGUUGCUCGAUGCGGCAACGUUCCAUAUCUUGCUUUUAAUUUUACUUAGAAUAGAUGUAUUACAUGCAAUACAAUACAUGAGAUGAUAUGCUCGUCGCGUUAUACGUGCAAUACAUGUCGUCGACCGACCAAAUAUUAUGCGUUUUUACAGAUCAUCAAUAUAUGAGCAUCAAAUCUUUCUAUACGCUAUGGAAAUUAUAUUUCAAUAGCAAGUAUUAAUAUGAAAUUAAUAUAGAGGUUUCGCUUGUCUGUUAAACGAGUCGUCACUCCACGCAAUCUCAAAAUCAUGAAAUUUUGAUAAAGCAGUUUUGUCUUCCGCGUAUUCAAUUUUGCAUGCGAAAAGAGCCGCACGCAGUUCUUUAUAGACUCAAACUGUCGAUUUUGUACUUAUGUAGUAUCAAUUUCGAAAAUGAACAGUAGUGUACGCGAAGUUCCGAGAGUUUCACGAAAAAAGUGAUCACAAUCGGCGAUUAUAAUCGUUCUUAGUAUUCUCUUUGACUAAUGUAUAAACUCUGAAAACGCAUAAGAAUUCGCAGCGCAAAUGUCAAGUAUUUAAAAGAUGUUUAGUCGCAGAUAAGGCACGUACCUUUUCCCCCUAAAAAAUAACAUUUCAAUGGCGUAUUGAAGACAUCUAGACAUCUAUUACCUGGUGCAGAUUCGCAAAAGAAAAUUGAUUCAGCACUUUCGUAAGAGAGAUACUGCAAAAGAGGUAAUUUGAAGAUUAAGAUGCAUCGUUCGAACAGUGCACUUUCGUUCCCUGUCGAAUGUGUCGGCCGACUUGAAGAGCUCGAGUAAUGAGAUGCAAGACUGACAGGUAUAUUAUUCGAACACAAUGGCCUGGAGAGCUUAAAAACUUUAACAUCGUAAUACCAAUGGUCACAAGUUCCAUUGAUAUUCUGGUUAAGAUUGAAAGCCACUCGCGUGAACCUCAUCGACGUCGUGAUGACAGGUAUUCUCUUCCUUGGAUAGUACACAGGCCAUGACAAAGGCAAUUUGUUUUGUUUUUAGUUUUGACUUGGUUUAGGCAAGACUUGACGAAUUUAAAAAAUCAAUUAAAAAUUUCAUGAAUUAACUAAUCAAAAAAUGCUUUAUCAAUAAUCUUCCUCAUUGUUGGAGACAUAUUAAUUGUGGCCGUUGGUUUUUACAAAUAUCACACGAAGCAAUCG
Molecule: long non-coding RNA, 1344 nt
Organism: Monomorium pharaonis (pharaoh ant)
Lineage: Eukaryota; Metazoa; Arthropoda; Insecta; Hymenoptera; Formicidae
Exons: 3
Source: RefSeq, a predicted model, not a curated record